RNAcentral lists this ribosomal RNA (253 nucleotides) under uncultured bacterium. RNAcentral describes it as "partial 16S ribosomal RNA". It matches the Rfam family "Bacterial small subunit ribosomal RNA", at positions 524 to 776 of the family's 1533-position model. The record is from RNAcentral.
UACGUAGGGUGCAAGCGUUAAUCGGAAUUACUGGGCGUAAAGCGUGCGCAGGCGGCUUUGCAAGACAGAUGUGAAAUCCCCGGGCUCAACCUGGGAAUGGCGAUGGAGACUGCAAGGCUAGAAUCUGGCAGAGGGGGGUAGAAUUCCACGCGUAGCAGUGAAAUGCGUAGAGAUGUGGAGGAACACCGAUGGCGAAGGCAGCCCCCUGGGUCAAGAUUGACGCUCAUGCACGAAAGCGUGGGGAGCAAACAGG